This 659-nucleotide ribosomal RNA is filed under the name uncultured archaeon. Its description in RNAcentral is "bacterial SSU rRNA". It matches the Rfam family "Archaeal small subunit ribosomal RNA", at positions 175 to 817 of the family's 1478-position model. The record is from RNAcentral.
AUGAGUCUUCGCUUAAAAGAGGCUGGGGUUAUGCUCUCCAGUUUCGCCCAAGGAUGGGGCCGCGGCCGAUCAGGUUGUUGGUGAGGUAAUGGCUCACCAAGCCUUUUACCGGUGCGGGCCGUGGGAGCGGGAGCCCGGAGAUGGGCACUUAGACAAGGGCCCAGGCCCUACGGGGCGCAGCAGUCGCGAAAACUUUGCAAUAAGCGAAAGCUUGACAGGGCUAUCCCGAGUGCCAUCCGCUGAGGAAGGCUUUUACCCAGUCUAGAACGCUGGGGGAAUAAGGAGAGGGCAAGUCUGGUGUCAGCCGCCGCGGUAAUACCAGCUCUCCGAGUGGUGUGGAUGUUUAUUGGGCCUAAAGCAUCCGUAGCUGGCCAGGUUAGUCCCCUGUUAAAUCCACCGAAUUAAUCGUUGGAUUGCGGGGGAUACUGCUUGGCUAGGGGACGAGAGAGGCAGACGGUAUUUCCGGGGUAGGGGUGAAAUCCUAUAAUCCCGGGAAGACCACCAGUGGCGAAGGCUGUCUGCUAGAACGCGCCCGACGGUGAGGGAUGAAAGCUGGGGGAGCGAACCGGAUUAGAUACCCGGGUAGUCCCAGCUGUAAACGAUGCAGACAAGGUGUUUGAACGGCCACGUGCCGUUCUAGUGCCGCAGGGAAGCUGUUA